RNAcentral lists this ribosomal RNA (123 nucleotides) under Acidobacteriota bacterium. RNAcentral's name for it is "partial 23S ribosomal RNA". It matches the Rfam family "Bacterial large subunit ribosomal RNA", at positions 2791 to 2925 of the family's 2925-position model. The record is from RNAcentral. Lineage: Bacteria; Pseudomonadati; Acidobacteriota.
AGCACGCCUCAAGAUGAGAUCUCCCUGAAGGGCCCAGGAAGACCACCUGGUUGAUAGGCUGGAGGUAGAAGCGCAGUAAUGCGUGUAGCUUACCAGUACUAAUCGCCCGUUCGGCUUGUCCAU